AUCUGGUUGAUCCUGCCAGUAGUCAUAUGGCAUCUCAAGACUAAGCCAUGCAUGUCUAAGUAUAAGCAAUUAUAUACAGUGGUGAAACUGCGAACGGCUCAUUAAAUCAGUUAUCGUUUAUUUGAUAGUUUUCCUGCAUGGAUAGCAAUGAUAACUUCAGAACUAAUACAUGACAGCCUUCUGGCGUAUAUAUUAGUACAAACCAACAGUAUGGUGAUUCAUAAUAUCUUGUCGAACCGAUCUUCGGUGUGUAUUCAAAUUUCUGCCCUAUCAGCACAGCCGAUGGUAGGAUCGUGGCCAUGGUAACAACGGGUAACGGGGAAUCAGGUUCUAUUCGGAGAGGGAGCCUGAGAGCGGCUACCAUCAAGGAAGGCAGCAGGCGCGCAAAUUACCCAAUCCUGACACGGGGAGGUGGUGGCAAUAUAUAACGAUCCCGGGGAACUCUUUGGUUUCAGGUGGAAUGGUACAAUUUAAACACCUUAACGAGGAACAAUUGGAGAACAGAAUCUGGUGCCAGCAGCGCAGUAUUUCAACUCCAAUAGCGUAUAUUAGUAUUUGUUGCGGUUAAAAAGCUCUUAGUUGAAAUUGGGCGGGCUAUUGGUUUAAACCGCUUCAGGAAGAGGAGAACUUCUUCCAGUUACUUUGAAAAAUUAGAGUGUUCAACGCGGUUUCGCCUGAAUAUAUUAGCAUGGAAUGUAUAACGACGAGGGUCCAUUUUGUUGUACGAAACCACGUAAUGAUUAAUAAAGGGACAGUCAGGGGGCAUCGGUAUUGUGUUAUCGAAAUUGAAAUUCUUGGAUUUACACAAGACUAACUUCUGAAGGCAUUCGCCAGGAUGUAUUCAUUAAUCAGAACGAAAGUUAGGGGAUCAAAAGAUGAUCAGAUACCGUCGUAGUCUUAACCGUAAACUAUGCCGACGAGAAUGGGUACCGCUUAUACGGUAUCCGCGCUCUACAAUCAAAGUGAUCGGAGUUCUGAAGGAGUAUGGUCGCAAGGCUGGGGAAACUUAAAGGAAUUGACGGAAGGGCACCACCAGGAGUGGAGCCUGCAGCUUAAUUGACUCAACACGGAAACUCACCGGUCGAACACAAUAAGGAUUGACAGAUUGAUAGCUCUUCUUGAUUUUGUGGGUGAGUGGUGUAACCGUUCUUAGUUGGUGGAGUGAUUUGUCUGUAAUUGCGAUAACGAACAGACCUUGACCUACUAAAUAGCUCUACUUGCGAUUGCAGGUAGCUGAAAGCUUCUGAAGGACUAUCUAUUACAAGUAGAUGGAAGUUCGAGGCAAUAACAGGUCUGUGAUGCCCUUAGACGUUCCUGGAGCCGCACGCAUACACUGACGGGAGCCAGCGAGUCGACCAAGCCCGGGGCUAGGUAAUCUUAAUGAAACUCCGUCGUGCUGGGAUGGAAGCAUUGCAAUUAUUGCUCUUCGAGGAAUUCUAGUAAGCGCAGAGUCAUCAGCUUGCGUUGAUUACGUCCCUGCCGCUGUACACACUUAACCAUCGCUACUACCGAUUGAGAUGGUUUAGUGAGACCUUGGGAGGGCGGAUGGGGGCAGCCUUUGAACAUCGAAACUUGGUCCAGAACUUGAUUAUUUGGGAAGUAAAAGUCGUAACAAAGGUUUCCGUAGGUGAACCUGCGGAAGGAUCGUAU
RNAcentral lists this ribosomal RNA (1650 nucleotides) under Yarrowia lipolytica. RNAcentral's name for it is "SSU rRNA". It matches the Rfam family "Eukaryotic small subunit ribosomal RNA". The record is from RNAcentral. Lineage: Eukaryota; Fungi; Ascomycota; Dipodascomycetes; Dipodascales.